UCAAGCGUAAAAGGGCAUUCAGGGGAUGCCUUGGCGCCAGGAGUCGAUGAAGGACGUAGUUGGUUGCGAUAAGCGACGGUUAGCCGCCAACAGGCUUUAACCCGUCGAUUUCCGAAUCGGAAAACCGGUCGUGUGGAAACGCACGUCAUCAUACGCUGAAUUCAUAGGCGUGUGAGGGUAACCAGGAGAAUUGAAACAUCUUAGUAUCCUGAGGAAAAGAAAGCAGAGCGAUUCCCUUAGUAGCGGCGAGCGAAAAGGGAACAGUCUAAACCGAAUGUGUGUCAAGCUCACAGGCGUUGCUCAUUCGGUGUUGUGGGAUUUAUCCGGACCGGGCUGUGGACAGGUCGGAGAGUUAUAAAAGUAUUAUCUAGCCGAAGGACCUGGGAAGGUCCGCCGUAGAGGGUGAGAGCCCCGUAGGCGAAAGGUUUUGCUCUCUCUGGGAUAAAUUCCCAAGUAGCGCGGGGCACGUGAAACCUUGCGUGAAUCUGGGUGGACCAUCAUCCAAGACUAAAUACUCCCUGGCGACCGAUAGUGAACCAGUACCGUGAGGGAAAGGUGAAAAGAACCCCUGUUAGGGGAGUUCAAAGAACCUGAAACUGGAUGCCUACAAUCAGUGGGAGCCCUAUGUUUUCGGACACGGGUGACCGCUUACCUUUUGCAUAAUGAGCCGGCGAGUUAUGGUGUGUUGCAAGGUUAAGCCUUUUGGUGUAGCCGAAGCGAAAGCGAGUCUUAAUUGGGCGAUUUAGUUGCACGCUGUAGACCCGAAGCUGAGUGAUCUAUCCAUGGCCAGGAUAAAGCGGGGGUAACACCUCGUGGAGGUCCGAACCAGUAUACGUUGAAAAGUAUUUGGAUGAGCUGUGGAUAGGGGUGAAAGGCCAACCAAACUCAGCAAUAGCUGGUUCUCCCCGAAAUAUAUUUAGGUAUAGCCUUAUGUAAUAAUCAGUGGCCGUAGGGCGCUGGAUGGACUAGGGGCCUCACCAGGCUACCAAACCCAACCAAUCUUCGAAGACCAUUGAUCGUAUCAUGGGAGUCAGACUGUGGGUGAUAAGGUCCAUAGUCGAAAGGGAAACAGCCCAGAUCGCCAGCUAAGGUCCCUAAGUGCAGACUAAGUGGAGAAGGUUGUAGAAAUGCAUAGACAGCCAGGAGGUUGGCUUAGAGGCAGCCAUCCUUUAAAGAUAGCGUAAUAGCUCACUGGUCAAGUGCAUCUGCGCCGAAAAUUCAACGGGGCUAAAGUCUGUCACCGAAGCUGCGGAUUUGCAGGAUUUCCUGCGAGUGGUAGGGGAGCGUUCCAUGUGGGAUGAAGGUCGACUGUAAGGACGGCUGGACUUCAUGGAAGUGAGCAUGUCGGCAUGAGUAACGAUAAAACGGGUGAGAAACCCGUUCGCCGAAAACCCAAGGGUUCCUGAGGAAGGGUAAUCCGCUCAGGGUUAGUCGGUCCCUAAGGCGAGGUCGAAAGGCGUAGCUAAUGGGAAACAGGUUAAUAUUCCUGUACUAUCUGUAUGGCGUUAUCACGAUGGGGUGACGCGGCAGGGUAGGUCAGCCAGGCGAUGGUCGUCCUGGUUUAAGCGCGUAGGAGGGUUUCCCAGGCAAAUCCGGGAAGCUAUUAACUCCGAGACGUUAUGAGGCCCUUAGCCUACGGGCAAGGGGUAACUGAUUUAUCCCAUACCGCCGAGAAAAACCUCUAAGGAGUCAUGCGGGUAACCGUACCCUAAACCGACACAGGUGGGUGAGGAGAGAAUCCUAAGGCGCUUGAGAUAACUCUGGUUAAGGAACUCGGCAAAAUAGCUCCGUAACUUCGGGAGAAGGAGUGCCCUCAUUACGUGAAAUCCUUCGCGGGUGGAGCGGAAGAGGGUUGCAGUGAAAUGGUAGCCGCGACUGUUUACUAAAAACACAGGUCUCUGCUAAGUCGUAAGACGAUGUAUAGGGACUGACGCCUGCCCGGUGCCGGAAGUUUAAAAGGAGAGGUUAGCUUUCGAGCGAAGCUUUGAAUUGAAGCCCCGGCAAACGGCGGCCGUAACUAUAACGGUCCUAAGGUAGCGAAAUUCCUUGUCGGGUAAGUUCCGACCUGCACGAAUGGCGUAACGAUGGCUACACUGUCUCAACCAGGGACUCAGUGAAAU
Molecule: ribosomal RNA, 2120 nt
Filed under: marine metagenome
Description: bacterial LSU rRNA
Rfam family: Bacterial large subunit ribosomal RNA
Source: RNAcentral